ACGCUCGACACCUACGGGAGACAGCAGUCGGGAAUAUUGCGCAAUGGAGGAAACUCUGACGCAGUGACGCCGCGUAUGGGAAGAAGGUUUUCGGAUUGUAAACCAUUUUAGACAAGGAAGAAACAAGACAGUACUUGUAGAAUAAGCUCCGGCUAACUACGUGCCAGCAGCAGCGGUAAUCUGAGCGGGCUGGCAAGGC
Molecule: ribosomal RNA, 199 nt
Filed under: uncultured bacterium
Lineage: Bacteria
Description: partial 16S ribosomal RNA
Rfam family: Bacterial small subunit ribosomal RNA
Source: RNAcentral